UGGGGAAUAUUGGACAAUGGGCGCAAGCCUGAUCCAGCCAUGCCGCGUGUGUGAAGAAGGCCUUUUGGUUGUAAAGCACUUUAAGCGAGGAGGCGUUACUCGCAGAAUAAGCACCGGCUAACUCUGUGCCAGCAGCCGCGGUAAUACAGAGGGUGCGAGCGUUAAUCGGAUUUACUGGGCGUAAAGCGUGCGUAGGCGGCUUCUUAAGUCGGAUGUGAAAUCCCUGAGCUUAACUUAGGAAUUGCAUUCGAUACUGGGAAGCUAGAGUAUGGGAGAGGAUGGUAGAAUUCCAGGUGUAGCGGUGAAAUGCGUAGAGAUCUGGAGGAAUACCGAUGGCGAAGGCAGCCAUCUGGCCUAAUACUGACGCUGAGGUACGAAAGCAUGGGGAGCAAACAGGAUUAGAUACCCGAGUAGU
This 415-nucleotide ribosomal RNA is filed under the name uncultured bacterium. Its description in RNAcentral is "bacterial SSU rRNA". It matches the Rfam family "Bacterial small subunit ribosomal RNA", at positions 355 to 794 of the family's 1533-position model. The record is from RNAcentral.